This 473-nucleotide ribosomal RNA is filed under the name uncultured bacterium. RNAcentral's name for it is "bacterial SSU rRNA". It matches the Rfam family "Bacterial small subunit ribosomal RNA", at positions 52 to 518 of the family's 1533-position model. The record is from RNAcentral.
CACAUGCAAGUCGAGGGGCAGCGCGAGUAGCAAUACUUGGCGGCGACCGGCGCAAGGGUGCGUAACGCGUGAGCAACAUGCCCGUAUCAGGGGGAUAAUCCAGGGAAACUUGGUCUAAUACCCCAUAGUAAUUUUUGUAAGGCAUCUUAUAAGAUUUAAAGCUUUGGUGGAUACGGAUUGGCUCGCGUGACAUUAGCUGGAUGGUAAGGUAACGGCUUACCAUGGCUAUGAUGUCUAGGGGUUCUGAGAGGAAGGUCCCCCACACUGGAACUGAGACACGGUCCAGACUCCUACGGGAGGCAGCAGUGAGGAAUAUUGGACAAUGGAUGGAAAUCUGAUCCAGCCAUGCCGCGUGAAGGAAAGAAGGUCCUAUGGAUUGUAAACUUCUUUUGUAUGGGAGCAAUAAGGCCUACGAGUAGGUUGAUGAGAGUACCAUACGAAUAAGCACCGGCUAACUCCGUGCCAGCAGCUGC